AGCGAACGCUGGCGGCAGGCUUAACACAUGCAAGUCGAGCGGACCUUUCGGGGUCAGCGGGGACGGGUGAGUAACGCGUGGGAACGUGCCUUCCGGUUCGGAAUAACCCUGGGAAACUAGGGCUAAUACCGGAUACGCCCUUAUGGGGAAAGGUUUACUGCCGGAAGAUCGGCCCGCGUCUGAUUAGCUAGUUGGUGGGGUAACGGCCUACCAAGGCGACGAUCAGUAGCUGGUCUGAGAGGAUGAUCAGCCACACUGGGACUGAGACACGGCCCAGACUCCUACGGGAGGCAGCAGUGGGGAAUAUUGGACAAUGGGCGCAAGCCUGAUCCAGCCAUGCCGCGUGAGUGAUGAAGGCCUUAGGGUUGUAAAGCUCUUUUAUCCGGGACGAUAAUGACGGUACCGGAGGAAUAAGCCCCGGCUAACUUCGUG
This 432-nucleotide ribosomal RNA is filed under the name uncultured bacterium. Its description in RNAcentral is "partial 16S ribosomal RNA". It matches the Rfam family "Bacterial small subunit ribosomal RNA", at positions 29 to 507 of the family's 1533-position model. The record is from RNAcentral.